GUCAAUUUAGCAAAAAUAAUGCAACUGAUUUAGGAUCAGUAAAUAUAGGUGAAAAUCCUUUAUUUGACA
RNAcentral lists this transfer RNA (69 nucleotides) under Toxicochlespira sp. MNHN IM 2013-9841. RNAcentral's name for it is "tRNA-Leu". It matches the Rfam family "tRNA". Rfam says of the family: Transfer RNA (tRNA) molecules are approximately 80 nucleotides in length. Their secondary structure includes four short double-helical elements and three loops (D, anti-codon, and T loops). Lineage: Eukaryota; Metazoa; Mollusca; Gastropoda; Neogastropoda; Conidae. The record is from RNAcentral.